GUGAGGAAUAUUGCGCAAUGGAGGCAACUCUGACGCAGCCAUGCCGCGUGCAGGAAGAAGGCGCUACGCGUUGUAAACUGCUUUUAACCGGGAAGAAACCCCAGGACGUGUCCUGGGUUGACGGUACCGGAGGAAUAAGCACCGGCUAACUUCGUGCCAGCAGCCGCGGUAAUACGAAGGGUGCAAGCGUUAUCCGGAUUCAUUGGGUUUAAAGGGUGCGUAGGCGGAGCGUUAAGUCAGUGGUGAAACCCUGCAGCUUAACUGUAGACUUGCCAUUGAUACUGGCGCUCUUGAGUGCGCUUGAAGUGGGCGGAAUGUGCCGUGUAGCGGUGAAAUGCUUAGAUAUGGCACAGAACACCAAUUGCGAAGGCAGCUCACUAAGGCGAUACUGACGCUGAGGCACGAAAGCGUGGGGAUCGAACAGGAUUAGAAACCCGGGUAGUCC
This 445-nucleotide ribosomal RNA is filed under the name uncultured bacterium. Its description in RNAcentral is "partial 16S ribosomal RNA". It matches the Rfam family "Bacterial small subunit ribosomal RNA", at positions 354 to 796 of the family's 1533-position model. The record is from RNAcentral.